RNAcentral lists this ribosomal RNA (497 nucleotides) under uncultured bacterium. RNAcentral's name for it is "partial 16S ribosomal RNA". It matches the Rfam family "Bacterial small subunit ribosomal RNA", at positions 28 to 507 of the family's 1533-position model. The record is from RNAcentral.
GAUGAACGCUGGCGGCGUGCCUAAUACAUGCAAGUCGAGCGAACAGACGAGGAGCUUGCUCCUCUGACGUUAGCGGCGGACGGGUGAGUAACACGUGGAUAACCUACCUAUAAGACUGGGAUAACUUCGGGAAACCGGAGCUAAUACCGGAUAAUAUAUUGAACCGCAUGGUUCAAUAGUGAAAGACGGUUUUGCUGUCACUUAUAGAUGGAUCCGCGCCGCAUUAGCUAGUUGGUAAGGUAACGGCUUACCAAGGCAACGAUGCGUAGCCGACCUGAGAGAGUGAUCGGCCACACUGGAACUGAGACACGGUCCAGACUCCUACGGGAGGCAGCAGUAGGGAAUCUUCCGCAAUGGGCGAAAGCUUGACGGAGCAACGCCGCGUGAGUGAUGAAGGUCUUCGGAUCGUAAAACUCUGUUAUUAGGGAAGAACAAAUGUGUAAGUAACUAUGCACGUCUUGACGGUGCCUAAUCAGAAAGCCACGGCUAACUACGUG